RNAcentral lists this ribosomal RNA (497 nucleotides) under uncultured bacterium. RNAcentral describes it as "partial 16S ribosomal RNA". It matches the Rfam family "Bacterial small subunit ribosomal RNA", at positions 28 to 507 of the family's 1533-position model. The record is from RNAcentral.
GAUGAACGCUAGCUGCGUGCCUAAUACAUGCAAGUCGAGCGAACAGACCAUCAGCUUCUUUCUUUGAUUUUACGUCGAGCCGGGCGAGUGAGACGUACGCGUCUCCCCUCUACCCCUGACUUGACUUUAACCUACCGAAGCUAAUACUAAUUGCCAUUUAUAUCCCACUAAUUCAUCGGUGUAGGACGGUAUAUUUAUCAUUUAUAGAUGGGUCCGCGCUGCAUUAGCUUGUUGGUAAGGUAACGGCUUACCAAGGCAACGAUGCAUAGCCGACCUGAGAGGGUGAUCGGCCACACUGGAACUGAGACACGGUCCAGACUACUACGGGAGGCAGCAGUAGGGAAUCUUCCGCAAGGGGCGAAAGCCUGACGGAGCAACGCCGCGUGAGUGAUGAAGGUCUUCGGAUCGUAAAUCUCUGUUGUUAGUGAAGAACAUAUGAGUAAGUAACUGUUCACAUCUUGACGGUACCUAAUCAGAAAGCCACGGCUAACUACGUG